CAAUAGCGUAUAUUAAAGUUGUUGCAGUUAAAAAGCUCGUAGUUGAAUCUUGGGAGCGGGUGGGCUAGCGAGCCACAGCCCGUCCCUGCUUCUUGCCUCUCGGUGCCCCCUGGAUGCUCUUAGCUGAGUGUCCUGUGGCCCGAAGCACUUACUUUGAAAAAAUUAGAGUGUUCAAAGCAGGCCCAAGCCGCCUGGAUACUGCAGCUUGGAAUAAUGGAAUAGGACCACAGUUCUAUUUUGUUGGUUUUCGGAACUGAGGCCAUGAUUAAGAGGGACGGCCGGGGGCAUUCAUAUUGCACCGCUAGAGGUGAAAUUCUUGGACUGGCAGUUUAGACCAGAGCGAAAGCAUUUGCCAAGAAUGUUUUCAUUA
This 370-nucleotide ribosomal RNA is filed under the name uncultured eukaryote. Its description in RNAcentral is "partial 18S ribosomal RNA". It matches the Rfam family "Eukaryotic small subunit ribosomal RNA", at positions 592 to 975 of the family's 1831-position model. The record is from RNAcentral.